ACAUGCAAGUCGAGCGGACAGAUGGGAGCUUGCUCCCUGAUGUUAGCGGCGGACGGGUGAGUAACACGUGGGUAACCUGCCUGUAAGACUGGGAUAACUCCGGGAAACCGGGGCUAAUACCGGAUGGUUGUUUGAACCGCAUGGUUCAGACAUAAAAGGUGGCUUCGGCUACCACUUACAGAUGGACCCGCGGCGCAUUAGCUAGUUGGUGAGGUAACGGCUCACCAAGGCGACGAUGCGUAGCCGACCUGAGAGGGUGAUCGGCCACACUGGGACUGAAACACGGCCCAGACUCCUACGGGAGGCAGCAGUAGGGAAUCUUCCGCAAUGGACGAAAGUCUGACGGAGCAACGCCGCGUGAGUGAUGAAGGUUUUCGGAUCGUAAAGCUCUGUUGUUAGGGAAGAACAAGUGCCGUUCAAAUAGGGCGGCACCUUGACGGUACCUAACCAGAAAGCCACGGCUAACUACGUGCCAGCAGCCGCGGUAAUACGUAGGUGGCAAGCGUUGUCCGGAAUUAUUGGGCGUAAAGGGCUCGCAGGCGGUUUCUUAAGUCUGAUGUGAAAGCCCCCGGUUCAACCGGGGAGGGUCAUUGGAAACUGGGGAACUUGAGUGCAGAAGAGGAGAGUGGAAUUCCACGUGUAGCGGUGAAAUGCGUAGAGAUGUGGAGGAACACCAGUGGCGAAGGCGACUCUCUGGUCUGUAACUGACGCUGAGGAGCGAAAGCGUGGGGAGCGAACAGGAUUAGAUACCCUGGUAGUCCACGCCGUAAACGAUGAGUGCUAAGUGUUAGGGGGUUUCCGCCCCUUAGUGCUGCAGCUAACGCAUUAAGCACUCCGCCUGGGGAGUACGGUCGCAAGACUGAAACUCAAAGGAAUUGACGGGGGCCCGCACAAGCGGUGGAGCAUGUGGUUUAAUUCGAAGCAACGCGAAGAACCUUACCAGGUCUUGACAUCCUCUGACAAUCCUAGAGAUAGGACGUCCCCUUCGGGGGCAGAGUGACAGGUGGUGCAUGGUUGUCGUCAGCUCGUGUCGUGAGAUGUUGGGUUAAGUCCCGCAACGAGCGCAACCCUUGAUCUUAGUUGCCAGCAUUCAGUUGGGCACUCUAAGGUGACUGCCGGUGACAAACCGGAGGAAGGUGGGGAUGACGUCAAAUCAUCAUGCCCCUUAUGACCUGGGCUACACACGUGCUACAAUGGACAGAACAAAGGGCAGCGAAACCGCGAGGUUAAGCCAAUCCCACAAAUCUGUUCUCAGUUCGGAUCGCAGUCUGCAACUCGACUGCGUGAAGCUGGAAUCGCUAGUAAUCGCGGAUCAGCAUGCCGCGGUGAAUACGUUCCCGGGCCUUGUACACACCGCCCGUCACACCACGAGAGUUUGUAACACCCGAAGUCGGUGAGGUAACCUU
Molecule: ribosomal RNA, 1406 nt
Filed under: Bacillus subtilis
Lineage: Bacteria; Bacillati; Bacillota; Bacilli; Caryophanales; Bacillaceae
Description: bacterial SSU rRNA
Rfam family: Bacterial small subunit ribosomal RNA
Source: RNAcentral